AUACGGAGGGCGCGAACGUUGCUCGGAAUCAUUGGGCGUAAAGCGCACGUAGGCGGCCUGAUAAGUCGGAUGUGAAAGCCCACGGCUCAACCGUGGAAGUGCAUUCGAAACUGUCAGGCUUGAGUAUGGGAGAGGGUUGCGGAAUUCCCGGUGUAGAGGUGAAAUUCGUAGAUAUCGGGAGGAACACCAGCGGCGAAGGCGGCAGCCUGGACCAAUACUGACGCUGAGGCGCGAAAGCGUGGGGAGCAAACAGGAUUAGAAACCCCGGUAGUCC
Molecule: ribosomal RNA, 274 nt
Filed under: uncultured bacterium
Lineage: Bacteria
Description: partial 16S ribosomal RNA
Rfam family: Bacterial small subunit ribosomal RNA
Source: RNAcentral